AGUGAACGCUGGCGGCAGGCCUAACACAUGCAAGUCGAACGGCAGCACAGUAAGAGCUUGCUCUUACGGGUGGCGAGUGGCGGACGGGUGAGGAAUACAUCGGAACCUACUUUUUCGUGGGGGAUAACGUAGGGAAACUUACGCUAAUACCGCAUACGACCUACGGGUGAAAGCAGGGGAUCUUCGGACCUUUCGCGAUUGAAUGAGCCGAUGUCGGAUUAGCUAGUUGGCGGGGUAAAGGCCCACCAAGGCGACGAUCCGUAGCUGGUCUGAGAGGAUGAUCAGCCACACUGGAACUGAGACACGGUCCAGACUCCUACGGGAGGCAGCAGUGGGGAAUAUUGGACAAUGGGCGCAAGCCUGAUCCAGCCAUACCGCGUGGGUGAAGAAGGCCUUCGGGUUGUAAAGCCCUUUUGUUGGGAAAGAAAAGCAGCAGGUUAAUACCCCGCUGUUCUGACGGUACCCAAAGAAUAAGCACCGGCUAACUUCGUG
RNAcentral lists this ribosomal RNA (492 nucleotides) under uncultured bacterium. RNAcentral describes it as "partial 16S ribosomal RNA". It matches the Rfam family "Bacterial small subunit ribosomal RNA", at positions 29 to 507 of the family's 1533-position model. The record is from RNAcentral.